Molecule: unclassified non-coding RNA, 229 nt
Filed under: Hevea brasiliensis (rubber tree)
Lineage: Eukaryota; Viridiplantae; Streptophyta; Magnoliopsida; Malpighiales; Euphorbiaceae
Source: RNAcentral
GGACUAUUUACUUCAAGGUGAAUUCCUUAAAUAAAAAAUAUAAAUUAAAAACAAUUAAAAAAUAAAAAUUUGAUCUGUUACUAGAGUUAGCAAGGCUCCUAAAAAUUCUGCAGAUGUCUAAGAAGUUAUCUCCAUGACUCUGUACCAAUGUUCCACAAGCACCCUAAAAUUAGUUGCUUCUCUCUAGAUUUUCCAACCCAAUUGCAGCCAAAAUUUUGCAUGUAUGCCU